UACAAUUAUAAUAAAGUAUCAGAAAGAUGAAUAAAAAAAAUCCCAUUUACAGUUGCAUCAAAAAGAACAAAAUAUCUAGGAGCAAAUUUAACCAAAGAGGUGAAAGACCUAUACACUGAAAACUGUAAGAUAUUGAUGAAAGAAAUUAAAGAUACAAAUAAAUGGAAAAAUGUUUUUUGGUUUUUUUUUAGGGCAGCACCUGUGGCAUACAGAAGUUCCCAGGCUAGGGGUUGAAUCAGAGCUGCAGCUGCCAGCCUAUGCCAUAGCCACAGCAAGCAAUGCAGGAUCUGAGCUCUGUCUGCGACCUACACCACAGCUUGCAGCAAUGCCAGAUCUUUAACCCACUGAGCAAGGCCAGGGAUCAAACCUGCCUCCUCAUGGAUACUAGUCAGGUUCAUUACUCACUGAGCCACAAUAGGAACUCUGUAAAAAUAUUUUUUUACUCAUGGAUUGGAAGAAUUUAUAUUGCUAAAAGUUUCCAAUAUAUGCAAUAUACUACAUAUAUUCAGUUCAAUCUCUAUCAAAAUUCCAAUGCCACUUUUCACAAAACUAGAACAAAUAAUACUCAAAUUUGUAUGGAACACAAAAGAUCCCAAAUAGCCAAAGCAAACUUGAGAAAGAAGAACAAAGCCAGAGGUAUCACAAUACCUGAUUUAAACUAUAGUCCAGAGCUAUAUUAAUCAAAACAGUAAGGUAUUCAUAUAAAAACAGGCACCUAUGUCAGUGGAACAGAAUAGAGAGCCCAAGAGUUCCUGUCAUGGCUCAGCAGAAACGAAUCCAUCUGUGAUAACAUGAAUGGACCUUGGAGGCAUUAUGCUAAGUGAAAUAAGUCAGACAGAAAAAUACAAAUACUGUGUGAUUUCACUUAUAUGUAGAAUCUAAAAAACAAAGCAAAUGAAACUAAACAGAACCCAUCAUAGACACAGAAAACAAAAAGUGGUGGCCAGGGGGGAGGAGGAUAAAUGGGAUCAAGAGAUACAAACUUCUAGUUGUAAAAUAAAUCAGUUGCGGAGGUAUAAUGUACAGCAUGGGAAAUACAAUCAAUUACAUCGUGUUGACUUUGUAUGGUGACAGAUGGUGACUAAACUUAUUGUGGUGAUAUUCCACAGUACAUGCAAAUGUCAGAUCACCAUGUUUUACACAUGAAACUAAUAUAAUACUGUAGGUCAAAAAUAGUUCAAUUAAAGUUUCUGGUAUAUGUCAUAUCUAAGAGUACAUUGGCCAUCAUAAAUAUUAAACACAAAUCUAUGCCUGUCUAGGUAUGAAAAUAUUAUUCAAAAAGCUCUUUGUAGAUUAGAAGUGAGCUUUUGGAUUUCCUUUGUGCUAGCACUUAAGGGCUUGGCAUUGUCACUUCUGAGGUGUGGGUUCAAUCCCAGGCCUGGAAAGUUUUAGUAUGAGGUAGGCACAGUCCCCCCACAAAAGAACAUAAUAUUACAAAAUAAAAAAUAAAAAAUAAAUUAGAAGCAAGCUUUUUAUGAAAUGGUUCUAACUCUCUAUUUCAUCUUUGUCUGGACCUCGAUUUUAGCACUUUUUAUAAUAUAAUUAUUUGUUUUCUCUGCCUAUCUUCUGCACAAGUCAUUGGCUUCUUCAAAAGCUUAGAUGGGGAAUUCCCCUUGUGGCUCAGCAUUAAUGAACCCGACUAGUAUCCAUGAGGAUACGGGUUUGAUCCCUGGCCCUGUUCAGUGCAUUAAGGACCUGGCAUUGCUGUGGCUGUGGUGUAGGCCGCAGCUGAAGCUCCCAUUCAGCCCCUAGCCUGAUAAUUUCCAUAUGCUGUGGGUGUGGCCCUAAAAAGACAGAAAAAAAAAAAAGCUUAGGGUGUAUAAGUUAUUACCUUCCUUAGUCUAACACAAUAAUUGGCACAUGUAAAGAAUUAGCCAAAUAUUUGUCAAAUGAGUAUAUUCAACAGUAUUCUGAGAGUAUAAAGUAUGAUUACCAUAAAAUCAUAAGCAAAGCUAUCUUUGUGUUAUCUAAAUUCUGACAUUAUCACACUACUUCUUGACUGGGAAAUAUCUUAUUCCCAUAACUACAGUACUGUCUUCCAAGUGUUCAUAUAAAUUAUGGUGACAAUUAGGAAACCUCUGACUUAAAAUCUGAAUUAAAAAGGGUAAAGAUUAAAUAAAUUGUUGAAAUUGUUGGAAUUUUAACCUUAUCACAACCUUUACAACCUUUAUAAAUUGUGGUCAUUUUAAUCAUCAAUGGAGAUGUUCAAAAUUAAAUUUUUGAAAGACAGUUAAUUUCAGUUGGUAGUAAUUCCAUAGCCCUGUCGAGGUAUCUUAAGAAGAACUUACACCUAUUUUAUUUUAUUUUAUUGUUUUUGGCUGUGCCCAUGGCAUAUGGAAAUUCUUUGGCUAGGAAUAGAAUCCAAGGUACAGCUGUGACCUGUGCUACAGCUGUGGCACUGCCAGAUCCUUUAACCCAAUGCCCAGGUAUCUAACCUGUGCCUUAGCAGCAACCUGAGCCAGGGUGGGAAAAAAUGCCAGAUCCUUAACCUGCUGUGCCACAUUGGAAAAUCCACACCAUAAUUUUAUAUAUACAAAUAAAUGAAACUUUCAUAUCAAGAUUUAUCUACAUAUAAACAAAACUGGUGGACAAAAAUUAAAGCAAUGCAUUAAUUUAUACUAAAUAUUUAGUAAUUUAUGUAAAUUUAGUAAAUCAUGAGAAAAAUAUUUUAAAAUCUGCAUAUCUGCCUUAUUUUUUCACUCUUCUCCAUGUCACUCUUGACUCUUCACUCACCAGAAAAUAGUUAAUAUUACACACCAACAAUGAUAAGAAGUCCCAUUAGGUCAUGGUGACCCACUUCCUACAAAUCCAUGAAUAAGUAAAUCUGACUUUCUUCUAGUUGCACAUAAUAUGUUUUAUUUAUUUAUUUGUUAUAGCUGCACCUACAGGAUAUGGAAGUUCCUGGGCAAGGGGUUAAAAAGGAGCUGCAGCUGCAGCCUACACCACAGCCACAGCAAUGCUGGAUUCAAGCCACAUGUGAGACCUACACCACAGCUUCCAGCAACAGUGGAUCCUUAAGCUACUGAGUGAGGCCAGGGAUCAAAUCUGCAUCCUCAUGGAUACUGUGUUAUGUUCUUAACCCACUGAGCCACAAUGGGAACUCCGACCUGCAUGUAAUAUGUUUAUUAAUUGUUCCUGUUGCUACUGCCUAAAAUACGCUCCCAGCCUAGUGUGUAAUGAAGGCAAUCACUUUCCUAGACUGAGCUGGUCACGUGGCACUGUGAAGUCCACAGCAGGUAAACGCUGCUUCUCAAGACUGUUGAUAAAUAUAAAUCAAAAUGAGAUGAGUUAUUAGUCAAAAUAACUAUUAUGUAAUUACAACUAUAUGACAGGAACAAUAAGAUGCUAUAAUUACUUCAGUGGCAAUAAUAUUAUGGAAACCCUGUGAUAAUAUUGACUCUUUACUGAACAUUUAGUAUGUACCAUGCCCUAGGCUAAAUGCUUUUCUCUCUAAAACUGAACCACUCAGUUGAGAGAGGAUAGGAUUUUUAAAUAUGCAGAUAAAUUAUGGAAUAGCUAAACUAUUUCAAAUUCUUAUUGGAAAAAAAGAAUUCCUUCUUGGGAGUUCUGAAAUGACUCAGUGGAAAAGAAUCUGACUAGCAUCCAUGAGGAUGCAGGUUUGAUCCCUGGCCUUGCUCAGUGGGUUGAGGAUCCCGCAUUUCUGUGGCUGUGGUAUAGGCCGGUGGCCAUAGCUCCAAUUUGACCCCUGGCCUGGGAUCUUCUGAAUGCCAUGGGUUUGGCCCUAAAGAAAAAAGAAGACCAAAAAAAAAAAAAAAAA
RNAcentral lists this long non-coding RNA (3778 nucleotides) under Sus scrofa (pig). RNAcentral describes it as "lncRNA (ENSSSCG00015006787.1)". Lineage: Eukaryota; Metazoa; Chordata; Mammalia; Artiodactyla; Suidae. The record is from RNAcentral.